UAAGAUUAAGACAGGAUGCAAAAUAGGGAACAGAUGCCAGAGGAAUAGAAGGCUGCAAAAGAAGGAUACAGAGCUGUCCACCUGAGGAUGGUGUGGACCAUAUCCAUCUUCACUAAGAGCAUAUUGGAAAAUAACUUUAUUUUUUUUCCUUAGUGAACCAGGUGACAAAUACCCUCACCAGGACUGAUUUCAAGAUAUUGAUCUGACAUCACUGAACACAGAGAGUCUGAACACAGAAUUGAGAAGAAAUGACAACAGGAUGUUAUUAUAUAGUAUUUCCACCACCCAGGUGCAGAACCUCACUGACCCUUGUCAGAUUUGACCACAGACUUCACUGGGCAGAAAUGGCAUCAUGCUCACUCCAAGCAGGAACUUAUUUAAGAG
Heterocephalus glaber (naked mole-rat) is the source of this 384-nucleotide long non-coding RNA. The record is from Ensembl. Lineage: Eukaryota; Metazoa; Chordata; Mammalia; Rodentia; Bathyergidae.